RNAcentral lists this long non-coding RNA (1179 nucleotides) under Neodiprion pinetum (white pine sawfly). RNAcentral describes it as "uncharacterized LOC124218785". The record is from RNAcentral. Lineage: Eukaryota; Metazoa; Arthropoda; Insecta; Hymenoptera; Diprionidae.
GUUGUCAAACGCUAUUUCACGCCCAAUAAAACUACGGUUUGAAAGCGGCUAACUUCACUCUCCAAUAAGACCAUAAAAUACAUCGGGCGAACCGUUGAAAUACAGAUGUCUGUGACCUGGAAAUAUUCUGCAUCAACGAUUUUGUACGCACACGUACGCGGAUACGCGUCUAUGUGUUUGAUGUAAAACAGACGUAAGUCAAACUGUACAUGCACACUCGGCUCGGCCUUCAGUUCAGCAGCCAAUGCUCAGCGCUGAAGCAAAAACUGUGUUAUGUAUUUGAUUCUAUCCAGAUAAGUAUGCGUAUGAUAAUUUAUGCACGUAACACAUCCCAGGUAAGUGUAAUUGACGUUGUGUUAUGUUAUGACAAAGUUUUUUUUUUGUCGCAGUUAAAGUUGGGAUCACAAAAAGGAUUAGAAAGCUACAGAAUCAGUUAUACCUAGAAGUUUGCUUCGGUAAGAUUGUCGGUAGAGUACAUAAAUAAUAUGGAUUUAGCGUAGAUAAGAUGCAGGUAUGUUACAUUACAUACGUAGAAUACAUGGUUAUGUGUGGUAUCUUAUGGCGAACGUUAAAUUAGGUUAGGUUAGUGCAAAUGUUAUCUAAUCAGGGUCGUUGCCGCGCGUGGAGGAGUAACAAAUUGCGCGCCAAACAGGGAAUAGAGGAAAAUUAAAGGCACAACUCAGUACCGACAGUACCUUCGAUAAUGACGCGAGGGAUGCUGAACGGCAGUGGAGUCCGUUAAUUUGGCAAGUGCUCUACAGACCUCAAGACGCAGGGACCGUCAAGUAAUCGAAAACGGCGAAUAUGCGAGAGAUUAUCGCCUGGCGGCAUCGCGUAAGGAUUACAACGCAACGUCUUUAAAAGUCACCACCGGCGGAUUUCUUGAAUUAUGGGACAAGGAAAAACGGAUCUCACGACGUCGAGUAAAUUUCGUAAAAGCACGAGAAAACAGAGGAAGGUCUAAUGAUGAAUAUGCGAGAAUAAACGCACAUCGUCGCUUUCGGCUACCAAAGGUUUAUAGUAAAAAUGAAUGAUAUGGAGAACGAAAAUAACCUCACGUGUCAUACCAGCGAUAUGUAUUGUAUAUACCGCAAUGUAUACUUGAACAUGUGCCUAUAAAGUCGCCUAGCUGUAUCUACCGUACAAUAGAGUAGAAAAUAAAGAAAUUAGUCUUAUUAC